GGGGCUGCCUGGAAUAUAAAAGACCAGUCAAGGCAGGGCACCCCUGGGAGGAGAGAGAAGAUGAAGCUGCCUCCCCCUCUCCUCCUAGGCCAGCUGUCAUGUGGUGCAGUUGUCAGAUAAGUCAGGCCUAUGUGAAGGGUUUGACAGCAAAGCACUGCCUCCCUCCCCACCACCGGGAGGUUAUUGAAUAACAACAGGCCAGGAAAUCUGGCCAAAGCAUCCAACUGAUGCAAGAUGACCUGGAGAAUGACUCCUCCCUGGAGAAGACUACGGGAGGAAGGAGGAAAAACAUCACAGAAAUCACCAAGAUGCAGUAUCCUUUCCACAAGUCUUCAUUUUACAACUCAUUGCCAGAACUGGGUCACAAGCCUACCUUAAACAAACCACCA
This is a long non-coding RNA of Nycticebus coucang (slow loris), 389 nucleotides long. RefSeq lists it as uncharacterized. The record is from RefSeq and is a predicted model, not a curated record. NCBI's taxonomy places the organism in Eukaryota, Metazoa, Chordata, Mammalia, Primates, Lorisidae. The transcript has 3 exons.